GACGAACGCUGGCGGCGUGCCUAAUACAUGCAAGUAGGACGCACAGUCUAUACCGUAGCUUGCUACACCAUAGGCUGUGAGUUGCGAACGGGUGAGUAACGCGUAGGUAACCUGCCUAUUAGAGGGGGAUAACUAUUGGAAACGAUAGCUAAUACCGCAUAACAGUAUGUAACACAUGUUAGAUGCUUGAAAGAUGCAAUUGCAUCGCUAGUAGAUGGACCUGCGUUGUAUUAGCUAGUAGGUAGGGUAAUGGCCUACCUAGGCAACGAUACAUAGCCGACCUGAGAGGGUGAUCGGCCACACUGGGACUGAGACACGGCCCAGACUCCUACGGGAGGCAGCAGUAGGGAAUCUUCGGCAAUGGGGGGAACCCUGACCGAGCAACGCCGCGUGAGUGAAGAAGGUUUUCGAAUCGUAAAGCUCUGUUGUUAAGGAAGAACGAGUGUGAGAAUGGAAAGUUCAUACUGGACGUACUAACCAGAAAGGACG
RNAcentral lists this ribosomal RNA (489 nucleotides) under Streptococcus anginosus. Its description in RNAcentral is "bacterial SSU rRNA". It matches the Rfam family "Bacterial small subunit ribosomal RNA", at positions 28 to 494 of the family's 1533-position model. The record is from RNAcentral. Lineage: Bacteria; Bacillati; Bacillota; Bacilli; Lactobacillales; Streptococcaceae.